RNAcentral lists this ribosomal RNA (208 nucleotides) under uncultured bacterium. RNAcentral's name for it is "partial 16S ribosomal RNA". It matches the Rfam family "Bacterial small subunit ribosomal RNA", at positions 568 to 774 of the family's 1533-position model. The record is from RNAcentral.
CGCGCAGGCGGUCGUCCAAGUCGCGUGUGAAAGCCCCCGGCUCAACUGGGGAGGGUCACGCGAUACUGAUCGACUCGAAGGCAGGAGAGGGUAGUGGAAUUCCCGGUGUAGUGGUGAAAUGCGUAGAUAUCGGGAGGAACACCAGUGGCGAAGGCGACUACCUGGCCUGUUCUUGACGCUGAGGCGCGAAAGCUAGGGGAAGCAAACG